This is a long non-coding RNA of Betta splendens (Siamese fighting fish), 1171 nucleotides long. RefSeq lists it as uncharacterized. The record is from RefSeq and is a predicted model, not a curated record. The transcript has 3 exons. Lineage: Eukaryota; Metazoa; Chordata; Actinopteri; Anabantiformes; Osphronemidae.
GUGUGAAAGUCAUUACCUGUGGUAGUGAAGUGUGUGUGAUGUGUUUAUCCUCCAGAUGCUGCCUCCUCUGCUGUGACAAGGCACACUGCAGGUUCUGAUGACGUCAUCUACAGCCAUGUGGUCAUUUCACAUCAGGGAACGAAUACUGAGCAGCCACCUGAUCCAGAUGUUGUGUAUUCAUCAGUCAGAGUGGGACACAACGAACAUGUCUGGAUGAACACAACUGGAAUCUGACGACGAUGAGAUGAAUGGACGGUACUGCCUUGGGUUAAGAUGGUUGGACUCUGAUAAAGUGAAGUCAGCUGGUGUUUAUGAUGCUGAUGAGAGUUCAUCACAGGUUGGCGGCUCCUCAGCCAGUGGUUUCAUGACUGAACGCAUUAACACUGUUGUAAACCACAAAUUGUUUUUCCUUGGACCUGGUUUGAGCUACUACCAGAAUGUUUCCUGCUGCAGAAGUGAGCUUCAACCUUCAUGUGACGACAAACAAAAAUAACAUCGGUACAUUCUGAAGGUGGUGUUGUUUCUAACAUACUUCAUGGUACCUUCACGUUGGUGCCUUUGCAGGAACCAUGAAGUGUCGUCCAGCAAAAGUUUUACUAAUGUAAAACCAAGAAGCCUCUGGGAGAAAAUCAAACCAUAUAAACUUCUUUUAUUGUUGGAUAUUGUUUUGAGCAUCUGUAGUUUUAUUUAGCGAUUGAAGUUUAAAACAAAGAUUUCUGGGUUCAAACAAAUAUUUAAGAAGAACAGCAGCCACAACUUGAGGUCAAAUGUUUAGUUUAAACCACAUAGACUUAUUGUUCUUUCCCACAAAAUUAGGACAGUUUCAAAACAUUCAGGAAAACAAAACAGCCAAAGUUUAGCUUCAGUUCCUGAGUAGUUUCUGAAAGGAAAGCGCCCCCUGCUGUCAGAGAUCACUCUCUCCCUGAGAAGUCAGUUUGUAUGUAUUGGGUGUUUGUAGAGGUGUGUAAUGUGAUGUUGUAAUUGCACAUUUACAUUAUGUGUGCGUCAGUGCAUGUGUGGUGUUGUUAUUUGUGUGUGUUGUGUUGUUUGUAUGUCUGGGUGUGUUGUUAGAUGUGUGUGUGUUGCGUGUGUCAGUGUGUGUGUGUUGUUAUCUCUGUGUGUUAUGUUGUGUUGUGUGUGUGUGUGUGUGUGUGUGUGUGUGUGUGUGUGU